Onychomys torridus (southern grasshopper mouse) is the source of this 626-nucleotide long non-coding RNA. RefSeq lists it as uncharacterized. Lineage: Eukaryota; Metazoa; Chordata; Mammalia; Rodentia; Cricetidae. The transcript is spliced from 2 exons. The record is from RefSeq and is a predicted model, not a curated record.
CAUUGCUAGGCAACCACCGCGGCGCUGCUAGGGCGACGCCGGGCGACUGUUCCACUCUUAAAGGGGCAGGAGCCGGUCCUGGGUCCCGCGAGGAGACCCGGGAGCUGCAGGCAGAGAAAAACAGUUCUUUCCAGACCACGGGGACAGUCAGUGGAUCUGGAGGCUGAGUCAGGAGCAAGCGCGCUCUCGAAGCGGAAAGAGAACACCAGGCCGCAGCUGUAGUAGAUAUGUCAACUCAAGUAUUUGAGAUGUUGGUGUUUGUUGAUGGCAUCUGUGAGCAGGUUCGCUCGCAGCAGGUGCGCAAGGCAUGUUCCUGGCGGUGAGGAAAAGAACAACAAAAAACUGGAUUCCAGUACCCGCUCUGUGACUUUGACCUUGUUUGGCAGGUCUUCGCCAUGUCACCCUGCAUGGCCCUCUUCCCUCUGCCUCCCAAGUGCUGGAGUCACAGAUGUUCACCACCGUGCUUGACAGCCUGGGGAUGCUGAUCUCUGUUACCACCUGGGCCAGGAUGACGUAAUCGCUGUGUGGACCUUUGCUCUCCCUCGCUGGUCUCUUUGCCUCUACCCUGCAGUCGCCUGUACACAUAUAGCCAGCUGGGUCCCAUUAAAACCCACAACCAGACCAUG